This is a non-coding RNA of Macaca mulatta (Rhesus monkey), 354 nucleotides long. The record is from RefSeq and is a predicted model, not a curated record. Lineage: Eukaryota; Metazoa; Chordata; Mammalia; Primates; Cercopithecidae.
GGGCACUGCUAAAAAUCCCACCAUACACAGGACAGCUCCCUACCACGUGGACCUAUGCAGCCCCCAAAUAUUAACAGGGUAUCUCGGGACCACCCGUGGGCUGCCGGGGAGCCAACUUCUGCCUGGUCAGCUAACUCCGCGGUCCCGGGGCCUGGGGAAGAGCAAGGAGCAGCUGCAGACUGGCACAUGCGAUCCCCUCUCAUGGCGCGAUGCUGCCUGGUCAGAAAAGUAUAGAGAAGAAAACAAAAGCCUUAAAAUGCUUCACUCCUAGAAAGCCGCCGCUAACAGCUGGAGAACAUCCCUGCCCGUGUCUCAGUGCAAAUACACACCAAUAAAUCCACGUUUCCAACUCCA